This is a long non-coding RNA of Triticum aestivum (bread wheat), 938 nucleotides long. RefSeq lists it as uncharacterized. The transcript is spliced from 3 exons. The record is from RefSeq and is a predicted model, not a curated record. Lineage: Eukaryota; Viridiplantae; Streptophyta; Magnoliopsida; Poales; Poaceae.
AGCAGGUUGAUCACGCUGCCCUGUUUGAACUGAUAUUAUUCAGUCUCAUCAACUAUGAAUAUGGUGUAUGGUGUACUCACAUCCAUGCCAUCUAUUGCCACAUUUGCAGACUUUGACAGUUUUGGUGUUGCACCUAUAUGUAACCCUGAAAAAAUAUUCCAAGAAUCUUCUUUGAUAUUAUUUAUGAUAUUUUCAUAAUACAUAUGUUCUCAGGCGCUUUCCGUGGGAAGUGAUAGCAAUGGAAGCGGAGCUGUAGCUCUUCUGAAAAUUGCAAGGAUCUUUUCACACAUCUAUACAAGCCCUAAGACCAGAAGCAAGUUUAAUCUUCUCUUUGGAUUAACAUCUGGCGGACCCUACAAUUAAAAUGGAACUAGCAAGGUUAUCAAUUUUUGUUACAGUGGCUUGAAGUUUUGACCAACAUGUGUGUGAUAUUAUUGACUAUGCAAUUUACUUGAAUAUCAUUGGUUCCCGGAGCAAUGAUCUCUGGAUGCAUGUAUCAAAGCCUCCAGAGAAGCCUUACAUCAAGCAAAUCUUUGAGACUACAUGCUGAACAAGUUUCAGAUUGAGGAGAGCCUGGUCCCAAGAUGUGCCUAAAUUUGUACAGGGAAUAAGGAACUACAAUGGCCGGUCUGAAGCUUAUGGGCUACGAUUUCGACUACGAGGAUUCCACGCCAGCGUGCACGGUAAAUUGCCAUAUGAGAAGUUGAAGCCGGACCCUGUCCUGAGGAAUCUACUGCUUUCGAUGCCUCAAAAUCCCUCUGAUGUUUUUUGCUAAUCGCAUCAGCAAGGGGUCUGUGACAGUUAAAUGCUUCAGCAGUUACAGUUUGUUGUUGCACUGUAGAUAUUCACCAACUCUGACGAGGCUCACGCGGUCGCCCUCCUCUUGGUUAACUCUGACAUUCAUUGUGCCAUUUAUAUCAAAAUAUUGCAUGAGUUUU